This 253-nucleotide ribosomal RNA is filed under the name uncultured bacterium. RNAcentral's name for it is "partial 16S ribosomal RNA". It matches the Rfam family "Bacterial small subunit ribosomal RNA", at positions 524 to 776 of the family's 1533-position model. The record is from RNAcentral.
UACGUAGGGGGCAAGCGUUGUCCGGAAUCAUUGGGCGUAAAGCGCGUGUAGGCGGCUUGGUAAGUCCGCUCUGAAAGCCCGGGGCUCAACCCCGGGAAGCGGGUGGAUACUGCUGGGCUCGAGUCCGGAAGAGGAGUGUGGAAUUCCUGGUGUAGCGGUGAAAUGCGCAGAUAUCAGGAGGAACACCAAUGGCGAAGGCAGCACUCUGGGACGGUACUGACGCUGAGACGCGAAAGCGUGGGGAGCGAACAGG